Micropterus salmoides (largemouth bass) is the source of this 1056-nucleotide long non-coding RNA. RefSeq lists it as uncharacterized. The transcript has 4 exons. Lineage: Eukaryota; Metazoa; Chordata; Actinopteri; Centrarchiformes; Centrarchidae. The record is from RefSeq and is a predicted model, not a curated record.
GUCCAUUUCGACAGACGCACUCGCAGGUGGACUCAUCCAGAACCCUGUUGGGCCCGCAGAGAGCCAGCAGACCUGAGUUCAGCGCCUCUGGAAGCCAUAUGGAAAUUAAAAAAUGGUUUAAAGUCUGUGCUGUCUUGUAUCAGAUGUCCCACCUUGAACCUGCCGCACACCAUCCACACUUGUGUGACUGCAGUAUUUUACCCAUGAGGUGAUCUGUUGCGGCUCGUCUUAUGAUGGUGUGGAGUGGCCGCUUGGAGAGGCAUUCGCACGAAGUGUGGUUGACGAAGGUUACCAUGACGACGGAGCGAUCCAUCCUGGGCGGGGACAGUUCCAUCAGCUGGCGAGGAGAAAGACGAAGUUUCAAGGGCAAAGUAGUUACCGACAACUGCAACAUAAAUUAUGGGAAGACAGACAGACGUGAAAAGACGACAACGAAGAAGAGGAGAGACAGGAGGCCGACGAGGAGGAGGAGGGAGAAAGGUGUGUCUGGGAAACGCUCGACUGGAAAACAUCCGAUUUUUGGGCCAGUCACUGCCAGCCUUUUCGAGGAUUAAAGACGCACACCCCCGCACACACAUGCACGCACACGGUGGCAAGUGUCUGCUUGCAGUACGCUUUAUGUGUUGAAAUCCAUGCAACCAAAUUCCACAUUCCAGUCAUUGCUUUCUCCAUUUCAUCAUGGUAGCUCGGAGCACAGGAUUACAGACGAUAAAGAUGGACGUUUAUCAGUUUGUAACGCCAGGCCUUAUCUUGUUCAACAGAAGUCUAUGAUGUUUUUGAAGGUCAAAAUGUUUACGUUUAAAAUGAGAAAGCAGAUCACCUUGCACUUGGAAAUUAACUCUGAUGAUGUAGGAGGUGGCAUUUGGUUUAUCCGUGUAAGAGGAAAGGAUUAGCCGUUUCCAUGGGGGCUAAAGGGGGAAUUUAAACCUCGCUGAUUAAAUAUUUAUUGACCAUGAUCCUGACAACAAACCGAACACAACUAAACCAUGAGCAAAAGCCAAGUUAUGGAAAGUCUAAAAUAAUAAAAUAAAAUGGCAUAAUUUGUUGUAAAAGAGA